AGAAUCAACGCUGGCGGCGUGCCUAACACAUGCAAGUCGCACGAGAAAGCGGGAGCAAUCCUGCAAGUAAAGUGGCGUACGGGUGAGUAACACGUGAAUCAUAUACCUUCGAGUGUGGAAUAACUGAGAGAAAUCUUAGCUAAUACCGCAUAAUACUUACGAGUCAAAGCAGCAAUGCGCUUGAAGAGGAGUUCGCGGCAGAUUAGUUAGUUGGCGGGGUAAUGGCCCACCAAGACGAUGAUCUGUA
RNAcentral lists this ribosomal RNA (247 nucleotides) under uncultured bacterium. RNAcentral's name for it is "partial small subunit ribosomal RNA". It matches the Rfam family "Bacterial small subunit ribosomal RNA", at positions 26 to 285 of the family's 1533-position model. The record is from RNAcentral.